CCUACGGGAGGCAGCAGUGGGGAAUAUUGGGCAAUGGAGGCAACCCUUACCCAGCAACGCCGCGUGAAUGAAGAAGGUCUUCGGAUUGUAAAGCUCUUUAAUUGGGGACGAAAAAAAUGACGGUACCCAAGGAAUAAGCCCCGGCUAACUACGUGCCAGCAGCCGCGGUAAUACGUAGGGGGCAAGCGUUGUUCGGAAUGACUGGGCGUAAAGGGUGUGUAGGCGGUGUAGUAAGUUAGAAGUGAAAUACCUGGGGCUUAACCCAGGGGAUGACUCUAAAACUGAUAUACUUGAGGGCAGGAGAGGAAAGUCGAAUUCCUGGGGGAGCGGUGGAAUGCGUAGAUAUUAGGAGGAA
This 355-nucleotide ribosomal RNA is filed under the name uncultured bacterium. RNAcentral's name for it is "partial 16S ribosomal RNA". It matches the Rfam family "Bacterial small subunit ribosomal RNA", at positions 338 to 706 of the family's 1533-position model. The record is from RNAcentral.